ACAACAUUACAUCACUACUGACAGUAUCUUUCAAUAUGCCCAUAUGCCCAUUUACAUUAAUGAGCCAUUUGGGACAGGCACUAUAAAGUCAGCCCAAUCCCUUAGCUCGGGUCCUUUUCCAGCAUACCCAGAAGCUACAGAGAUGGAGAGAGAGAGGAACAGAACGAACAAACAAAGCGCUCAUCCACAACAUUGAUAAAUUUUUGUGACAUAUUUUUCCAGGUCUCUGAAUUCAGAGUACAAGUCACAGGGAAUAACAGUUCAGUGUGUGGCUCCCUUUAUGGUGUCCACUAACAUGACCCACAACUUGCCCCCCAACCUGUUGUUGAAGAGUGCCAGUGCUUUUGCCCGUGAAGCUCUGAACACAGUGGGUCACUCUAGCUACACCAGCGGCUGUGUCUCUCACGCUCUUCAGCACAUUGCUUUGUCCAUUUUCUUCCCUGAUUGGCUGCGCCUUUCAUCCUACUGUGUGAAGCAGACAGAGACAUUUGCACAGAGCAUGGAGAAAAAAAUUGAUGAAAUGACAGAACGUUCUGCAAGCAAAGAGGACUAAGGAGUGCAAAGGAGGUUGCUACUGAAACGUUUGUGGUGCUUUAAAGAGGUCAUAUUGGAAAUUGAUAUGAGAUGUUUUACUUCAUAUGUAGAUAACUAAUUGAUCAAUGUUACUGUUUUUGCAUUGACUGCCAUUUAAAGGUAUUGGUAAUAGGAAAGAGAUUGUGUAAUGUUGAUGUGUUGUUAACAAGCUGACCCCAAAUCCAUCAGGAACUAUAUAGCCUGAGUGCAGCAGAGUAUGAUCUGUGGGAAACGCAACUCUCAAACAGGCUUCUAUAGUACAUAUUCUAGCUAUAUACAUAUUAGGGAUAUAGACUACAACAUUAUAACUGAAUGCUUGGACAUGUGCAUGUUCUGGUUGAUUUGGACUUUUAACAUAGUACAAUUUUUGGUAUCAACCGUCACAUUUUUGUGAUCUCUAUUUUC
Molecule: long non-coding RNA, 978 nt
Organism: Salvelinus namaycush (lake trout)
Lineage: Eukaryota; Metazoa; Chordata; Actinopteri; Salmoniformes; Salmonidae
Exons: 4
Source: RefSeq, a predicted model, not a curated record